Chroicocephalus ridibundus (black-headed gull) is the source of this 1210-nucleotide long non-coding RNA. RefSeq lists it as uncharacterized. The record is from RefSeq and is a predicted model, not a curated record. NCBI's taxonomy places the organism in Eukaryota, Metazoa, Chordata, Aves, Charadriiformes, Laridae. The transcript has 4 exons.
GGGGAGAUGGAAUGUCAGUCCCAGUAGAAGUCACCACCAAAGAGGGAAAAUGUAGCAUUGAACAUUUUAAGGAUGAGACAGGAUCUGUUUAGAAGUGUCAUGGGUAAAUAAAAGAUAUAUAGGUUCUACAAACAUGUAAUCAAGAUGAGAGGGAGCAGAGAAAUUUAUACACAGAGUUACUUGUGAAGGACAAUAAGCAUCUGCGGAAGAGGUAGAGGAGGAGUAAAUGCAUCCAGAAGAGGUGGAGGAGCGGGAUGAUGCAGCCGUCGGCUCGCUCUGCCCACAGGAGCCACGCGGCACCUCGGGGCCAUCAGCACCGAUCCAGAAAGUGGGACUGGGUGAAUCCAUGCCAAAAUGGUGACAACAUCCGAUAUGCGCAAGAGGGACGCUGCGAGCACAGAACUGCGAGUCUUGCUGAACAUAACACGGUGCAAAUGCCAGCGGGGUUAGAUUUGCACACAGUAAUCAUUUAUUUGCUAUUAAAAAAAACAGAUGUGCCUUAUAAUUGCAUCUAAAAGGUGCGUUCCCAAAAUUAACAAUCCAAACCCUGUACGAAGAUAAAUGUUUUGUAACUUAAUUAUUAAAGUUGGAAAAGUUACUCUCCAUUUUCUUAUACUAUAAGUACCAAUUUUAGUAAAGUACUCAGUGACAUCUCUGAAGGUUUUUCUAAAUAUUUUUUAUUUUGUCACAUUUUUGUGUUUAUAAUGACUCUGUGCUACAAGGAUGAAGCUGCGGCCGUGCAUGUAUUGGUUUAGAGCAGCGAGUUUUCUUUAAAAAGAGUUGUUUGUGUAUUUUCUUUUCUUUUGUACUGCUCAUGACAUACUUAAGGCUGUUCAGCGGAAUAGCUAGCAAAAAAAAUCAUGAUCUUUAAUAUGCACGUGUACAGUACUUAUUCUGCAAAAAAACAAGCUGGCGGAAUUUUGUGUGAAGUUGUGGGUAACAUCUCUUUCCUGAACAAUGGUACAUUUAGGAAGUGGCCGGCAAUUUUUUAUUCUGCCCGUGAGAAGCGCCACUCCAGAAGACUCACUGUGUGCCCGAUCUUCUCAGGAGCGUUACUGAGAGGGCGACUGGCUCGGUGGUGCAACACCUCUGGAGGGAGAGAUUUCACUGUGCUGCCCCUGUGAAAGGGGAAAAGUGAGGUAAAAUGAUACUGGCCUAGAUUUUUAUCCCCACUUCCAAGAUUCACACUUGAGAAACUAGCGGAGUUGUG